GAUAAUGGUAGUAGUUCUUGGAUUACCUUCAAGUAGCAUUUUUCAUCCUAUUUUCAAUUUGGUGUUGACUACAAUUCACAUUGUAGUGGCAUCAAUGAUUAGUGUAUACUAUUGCAUCAUUGUAUUCCUCAAAGCUUCUUUAGAACAUGCACCUACAAUAUUUUAAAGGCUUAUGCAUUCUACAAUACUACAUUUAUGAUGUGUUUUUUUAGAAUAAUCCACCAAAGAAAGAGUCAGUAUCAUUUUGUUAAAAUUGAGACCAUAGAUUAUAAGAAAUAAAUUAUUUUAUAAUUAUUUAAAUAUGAAUUCUAUUAGAUAUUUUUUUUGUAAGCUAAUAUUGAUUGCUCUAUAAAUAAAAUUUAAGUUUUUUCAAUUAUUUUUUGAAUUUGCUCAAUAGACAAGAAAUUUUAAAGCAUUUCUAAAUACGUCUUACUUUUAUGAUGAAAGUUCUUCAAUGAUUUGUAUAGAAAAGCUCAAGGAUAUGUUUGUUGAGGCACUUAGUAGAAAGAUAACCAUGGAAUAUUUAGGGUUGCAGUAUUUGCAAGUGGAGCAUGUAAGUACUAUGUUUUAAAAAGAGCUUAUAUUGAGGGCUUCUAUGGAUUAUAAAAAUAGUAUAGUGAAUUGUAAGUACUUGAUCAUCAUAGAAUUUGAGCUUGCAUUGUGGUUUACAAUAUUUGGAUGUAAGGAGAGAUUGUAAAU
Molecule: long non-coding RNA, 699 nt
Filed under: Physcomitrium patens
Lineage: Eukaryota; Viridiplantae; Streptophyta; Bryopsida; Funariales; Funariaceae
Description: long non-coding RNA (PPAT_LNC009248)
Source: RNAcentral